ACUCCGAAAAGUGCGGCCCGCCGCACGCCGAAGGUGCAACCUGUCAUGCUAUACACAACAGGGAAUCUCUCAGGUAAUAAAACGGAGGCACA
This 92-nucleotide non-coding RNA is filed under the name human gut metagenome. Its description in RNAcentral is "Glycine riboswitch". It matches the Rfam family "Glycine riboswitch aptamer", at positions 9 to 86 of the family's 94-position model. From Rfam's summary of the family: This family represents the bacterial glycine riboswitch. Glycine riboswitches usually consist of two metabolite-binding aptamers domains with similar structures in tandem. The aptamers cooperatively bind glycine to regulate the expression of downstream genes. The record is from RNAcentral.